Molecule: microRNA precursor, 66 nt
Filed under: Tinamus guttatus (white-throated tinamou)
Lineage: Eukaryota; Metazoa; Chordata; Aves; Tinamiformes; Tinamidae
Description: mir-3064 microRNA precursor family
Rfam family: mir-3064 microRNA precursor family
Source: Rfam by way of RNAcentral
GAUUUGGCUGUUGUGGUGUGCAAAACUGUGUACAUUGCCUUUUGCCACACUGCAACACUUUACAGA